This 452-nucleotide long non-coding RNA is filed under the name Mytilus galloprovincialis (Mediterranean mussel). The record is from RNAcentral. Lineage: Eukaryota; Metazoa; Mollusca; Bivalvia; Mytilida; Mytilidae.
GGGGGGGUAACUUCCUAUUAUUGGGUAUACGGGGAUGUGCCAAAAAUAUGGGUCAUAAUUUUGCGAGAUUUUAUAUAAAAAUGACCCUCCUUUUUAAGGACAUACUAUAUUAAAAUGCAUUUACGUUUGAUAACUGUAUAUUGAUUUGGGGUAUGUCAUCUACAUAUCAUAUAUAACGAUAACAUAUAUGUGCACCAAACGAUGUCAAUUCAUAUAUAAAAACUUAAGGGUAGCUGGUAUAUUUAUGAAUUAUGAGUGAUGAUGAGUUAGUGCUUAUAUAAGCAUGGGUCAUAUUUUAAAUAUUGUAUAUAAGUAUAGGUCAUUCUUUCUUAAAUAUUUAUAUAACUAUAGGUACUGAAUUUCAGUGAAUGUUAUAUUAAAAUGGGUACGUUUUUUGAGGCAAAAAUGGCACACCCCUACCAAAAAAAUAUCGAAGUUACCCCCCCGUGAUG